Molecule: ribosomal RNA, 1727 nt
Filed under: Escherichia coli
Lineage: Bacteria; Pseudomonadati; Pseudomonadota; Gammaproteobacteria; Enterobacterales; Enterobacteriaceae
Description: partial 23S ribosomal RNA
Rfam family: Bacterial large subunit ribosomal RNA
Source: RNAcentral
AUCCUCCAAGGCUAAAUACUCCUGACUGACCGAUAGUGAACCAGUACCGUGAGGGAAAGGCGAAAAGAACCCCGGCGAGGGGAGUGAAAAAGAACCUGAAACCGUGUACGUACAAGCAGUGGGAGCACGCUUAGGCGUGUGACUGCGUACCUUUUGUAUAAUGGGUCAGCGACUUAUAUUCUGUAGCAAGGUUAACCGAAUAGGGGAGCCGAAGGGAAACCGAGUCUUAACUGGGCGUUAAGUUGCAGGGUAUAGACCCGAAACCCGGUGAUCUAGCCAUGGGCAGGUUGAAGGUUGGGUAACACUAACUGGAGGACCGAACCGACUAAUGUUGAAAAAUUAGCGGAUGACUUGUGGCUGGGGGUGAAAGGCCAAUCAAACCGGGAGAUAGCUGGUUCUCCCCGAAAGCUAUUUAGGUAGCGCCUCGUGAAUUCAUCUCCGGGGGUAGAGCACUGUUUCGGCAAGGGGGUCAUCCCGACUUACCAACCCGAUGCAAACUGCGAAUACCGGAGAAUGUUAUCACGGGAGACACACGGCGGGUGCUAACGUCCGUCGUGAAGAGGGAAACAACCCAGACCGCCAGCUAAGGUCCCAAAGUCAUGGUUAAGUGGGAAACGAUGUGGGAAGGCCCAGACAGCCAGGAUGUUGGCUUAGAAGCAGCCAUCAUUUAAAGAAAGCGUAAUAGCUCACUGGUCGAGUCGGCCUGCGCGGAAGAUGUAACGGGGCUAAACCAUGCACCGAAGCUGCGGCAGCGACGCUGAUGCGUUGUUGGGUAGGGGAGCGUUCUGUAAGCCUGUGAAGGUGUGCUGUGAGGCAUGCUGGAGGUAUCAGAAGUGCGAAUGCUGACAUAAGUAACGAUAAAGCGGGUGAAAAGCCCGCUCGCCGGAAGACCAAGGGUUCCUGUCCAACGUUAAUCGGGGCAGGGUGAGUCGACCCCUAAGGCGAGGCCGAAAGGCGUAGUCGAUGGGAAACAGGUUAAUAUUCCUGUACUUGGUGUUACUGCGAAGGGGGGACGGAGAAGGCUAUGUUGGCCGGGCGACGGUUGUCCCGGUUUAAGCGUGUAGGCUGGUUUUCCAGGCAAAUCCGGAAAAUCAAGGCUGAGGCGUGAUGACGAGGCACUACGGUGCUGAAGCAACAAAUGCCCUGCUUCCAGGAAAAGCCUCUAAGCAUCAGGUAACAUCAAAUCGUACCCCAAACCGACACAGGUGGUCAGGUAGAGAAUACCAAGGCGCUUGAGAGAACUCGGGUGAAGGAACUAGGCAAAAUGGUGCCGUAACUUCGGGAGAAGGCACGCUGAUAUGUAGGUGAAGCGACUUGCUCGUGGAGCUGAAAUCAGUCGAAGAUACCAGCUGGCUGCAACUGUUUAUUAAAAACACAGCACUGUGCAAACACGAAAGUGGACGUAUACGGUGUGACGCCUGCCCGGUGCCGGAAGGUUAAUUGAUGGGGUCAGCGCAAGCGAAGCUCUUGAUCGAAGCCCCGGUAAACGGCGGCCGUAACUAUAACGGUCCUAAGGUAGCGAAAUUCCUUGUCGGGUAAGUUCCGACCUGCACGAAUGGCGUAAUGAUGGCCAGGCUGUCUCCACCCGAGACUCAGUGAAAUUGAACUCGCUGUGAAGAUGCAGUGUACCCGCGGCAAGACGGAAAGACCCCGUGAACCUUUACUAUAGCUUGACACUGAACAUUGAGCCUUGAUGUGUAGGAUAGGUGGGAGGCUUUGAAGUGUGG